RNAcentral lists this ribosomal RNA (253 nucleotides) under uncultured bacterium. Its description in RNAcentral is "partial 16S ribosomal RNA". It matches the Rfam family "Bacterial small subunit ribosomal RNA", at positions 524 to 776 of the family's 1533-position model. The record is from RNAcentral.
GACAGAGGGUGCGAACGUUGUUCGGAAUUACUGGGCGUAAAGCGUGUGUAGGCGGCCACGUAAGUCGGAUGUGAAAGCCCCGGGCUCAACCCGGGAAGUGCACUCGAUACUGCGUGGCUUGAGUACUGGAGAGGUUGGUGGAAUUCUCGGUGUAGAGGUGAAAUUCGUAGAUAUCGAGAGGAACACCGGUGGCGAAGGCGGCCAACUGGACAGAUACUGACGCUGAGACACGAAAGCGUGGGUAGCAAACAGG